RNAcentral lists this transfer RNA (68 nucleotides) under Magallana belcheri. RNAcentral's name for it is "Crassostrea belcheri tRNA-Cys". Lineage: Eukaryota; Metazoa; Mollusca; Bivalvia; Ostreida; Ostreidae. The record is from RNAcentral.
CAUAAAGUAGUUUAAAAUAAAACAUGAAAUUGCAAAUUUCAGAAUGCUCAAGAAAUUGGCCUUUAUGU